Molecule: long non-coding RNA, 611 nt
Organism: Wasmannia auropunctata (little fire ant)
Lineage: Eukaryota; Metazoa; Arthropoda; Insecta; Hymenoptera; Formicidae
Exons: 3
Source: RefSeq, a predicted model, not a curated record
AAUAAUUUGUCACUUAUCACAAUAGAAACUUGUAUUAUUUCAGGAAUCUACUAAUAGAUCUACUAAUAUGGACACGAACUACUUGUUUAACGAGUCGUCAUAAUUCCUCAUUGGUGAAACCAUUCUCAUCAUUUUACUCCAUAGGAGGAGCAAACGAAAGACGAACAAAGUACUCCAUCUACAUAAAGAACGAAACGGACUUUAAGGGUUCAACCCAAAAUGGGCAGGGGCAGGUAGUCGACUAAUCGAUAACCCAGUUUCGAUCGGAGAUUCUCCAAUACCGGGCAGGUAGCAUCUGCGCAGGGCGAAGCCCGGGUCACCGACAUGAAAACGCUGAUGAGGAUUAAUUAAAAUUGUCCACGAUUUCACCAUGCUUCUCGACGAGAACUCGCGCUACGAAAAAUCCCGUCAGCGGGGGGCAUUAUACCAAUUUAUUCGGAAAGUAGAACAGAACGAGAAAGGGUACAUAAUUUUUCGCGAAUUAUAUUCGCGCCUGUUUUAACAUACGAGCUCCAAAUAUCAAACGAAUCAAAUAGGAAAAUCACAAAAAGAGGAAAAAACAAAUCAUCUCUUCGAAAGAGUAUGCAGGAUCAAUUGAGUGUUCGAAAAAA